CGCUAGUAAUCGCAGAUCAGCAUGCUGCGGUGAAUACGUUCCCGGGUCUUGUACACACCGCCCGUCACACCAUGGGAGUCGGAAAUGCCCGAAGUCGGUGACCCAACCGGAAGGAGGGAGCCGCCGAAGGCAGGUCUGAUAACUGGGGUGAAGUCGUAACAAGGUAUC
RNAcentral lists this ribosomal RNA (168 nucleotides) under uncultured bacterium. RNAcentral's name for it is "partial 16S ribosomal RNA". It matches the Rfam family "Bacterial small subunit ribosomal RNA", at positions 1333 to 1500 of the family's 1533-position model. The record is from RNAcentral.